Molecule: long non-coding RNA, 838 nt
Filed under: Homo sapiens (human)
Lineage: Eukaryota; Metazoa; Chordata; Mammalia; Primates; Hominidae
Description: non-protein coding lnc-MRPL11-1:17
Source: RNAcentral
GUCAGCAGGCCGCACACGCGCCGGACCGGGUACCGCUGUGCCCGGCCUGGCCGCGGCCUAGUCCCGGCAGACGGGACUGACGAGGUCACCAAGCCCAGGCCGAGACGGCGCGGGUGUCAGGGACUUGGGAAUCCCCCUCCCCCAGUCCCGAUCCCGCUUUCCUUUGGGGUUUCACCUCAGAGGACCCGACAGCACUCUUGCAGUUUCCUCAUCCUCAAGAUGGACUGCACCUUCUGGCAUCUCAAGUGGUUCUUGUGAAGAUUAAAUGAAUCCAUCAGGCCGGGUGCGGUGGCUCACGCCUGUAAUCCCAGCACUUUGGGAGGCCGAGACGAGCGCAUCACCUGAGGUCAGGAGUUCCAGACCAGCCUGGCCAACAAGCUGCCAGCAGCCUUGAAGCCACCUGGGACUGCACAGUAUGUCUGUGUGUGCCUUGAUCGCAUCACCCCCUGGACCUCCAGUGACCGAGAUCUCCCGCCAGACACCCGGGGCUGAGUCCUCGGAGAAGCCGCCUGCCGGGUGCAUCACCAGGACUCCAUUGGUGGUCAGUCCAUCCAUCAGGCCAUCUGGGGUCCGCCAUUUGGCCGCUCGCUCCUGGGACCACAUGAGGGAUCAGAUCACAUCCCCCAGGGGCCCCCCAGCAGGCCAUGUGCCAGAGGCACUGCCCCCGCUACCUUCAAGUUCAGAGGCGGCCCAGAGAGGACUGGCAUUGAAGCUGCAUGACUUGAGCGUCUCUCUGGGCCUCACUUUGCUCAUCAGUUAGGUGGGGUUGCUAACUGCCAGGACCACCAUUUGGAUUACUGUGGGCUGGUUCAUCACCUCAAGAUGCUGCACCUCCCAA